ACGAACGCUGGCGGCGUGCUUCACACAUGCCAGUCGAACGGAAAGGCCCUGCUUUUGUGGGGUGCUCGAGUGGCGAACGGGUGAGUAACACGUGAGUAACCUGCCCUUGACUUUGGGAUAACUUUAGGAAACUGGGGCUAAUACCGGAUAGGAGCUCCUGCUGCAUGGUGGGGGUUGGAAAGUUUCGGCGGUUGGGGAUGGACUCGCGGCUUAUCAGCUUGUUGGUGGGGUAGUGGCUUACCAAGGCUUUGACGGGUAGCCGGCCUGAGAGGGUGACCGGCCACAUUGGGACUGAGAUACGGCCCAGACUCCUACGGGAGGCAGCAGUGGGGAAUAUUGCACAAUGGGCGGAAGCCUGAUGCAGCAACGCCGCGUGCGGGAUGACGGCCUUCGGGUUGUAAACCGCUUUCGCCUGUGACGAAGCGUGAGUGACGGUAAUGGGUAAAGAAGCACCGGCUAACUACGUG
Molecule: ribosomal RNA, 467 nt
Filed under: uncultured bacterium
Lineage: Bacteria
Description: partial 16S ribosomal RNA
Rfam family: Bacterial small subunit ribosomal RNA
Source: RNAcentral